Molecule: ribosomal RNA, 253 nt
Filed under: uncultured bacterium
Lineage: Bacteria
Description: partial 16S ribosomal RNA
Rfam family: Bacterial small subunit ribosomal RNA
Source: RNAcentral
UACGGGGGGAGCAAGCGUUGUUCGGAAUUACUGGGCGUAAAGGGCUCGUAGGCGGCCAACUAAGUCAGACGUGAAAUCCCUCGGCUUAACCGGGGAACUGCGUCUGAUACUGGAUGGCUUGAAUCCGGGAGAGGGAUGCGGAAUUCCAGGUGUAGCGGUGAAAUGCGUAGAUAUUCGGAAGAACACCAGUGGCGAAGGCGACUUACUGGACACAUAUUGACGCUGAGGUGCGAAAGCGUGGGGAGCAAACAGG